UACGGAGGAUCCGAGCGUUAUCCGGAUUUAUUGGGUUUAAAGGGUGCGCAGGCGGGAGAUUAAGUCGGCGGUGAAAUUUUGCAGCUCAACUGUAAAAGUGCCUUCGAAACUGGUUUCCUUGAGUGUAGAUGAAGUAGGCGGAAUUUGUGGUGUAGCGGUGAAAUGCAUAGAUAUCACGAGGAACUCCGAUUGCGCAGGCAGCUUACUAAGCCAUAACUGACGCUCAGGCACGAAGGCGUGGGGAUCAAACAGGAUUAGAUACCGUGUA
This 268-nucleotide ribosomal RNA is filed under the name uncultured prokaryote. RNAcentral describes it as "partial 16S ribosomal RNA". It matches the Rfam family "Bacterial small subunit ribosomal RNA", at positions 524 to 791 of the family's 1533-position model. The record is from RNAcentral.